UCGGGAAUAUUGCGCAAUGGAGGAAACUCUGACGCAGUGACGCCGCGUAUAGGAAGAAGGUUUUCGGAUUGUAAACUAUUGUCGUUAGGGAAGAAAAAAGACAGUACCUAAGGAGGAAGCUCCGGCUAACUACGUGCCAGCAGCCGCGGUAAUACGUAGGGAGCAAGCGUUAUCCGGAUUUAUUGGGUGUAAAGGGUGCGUAGACGGGUAAUCAAGUUAGUUGUGAAAUCCCUUGGCUUAACUGAGGAACUGCAACUAAAACUGGUUAUCUUGAGUACAGGAGAGGUAAGUGGAAUUCCUAGUGUAGCGGUGAAAUGCGUAGAUAUUAGGAGGAACACCAGUGGCGAAGGCGACUUACUGAACUGAAACUGACGUUGAGGCACGAAAGUGUGGGGAGCAAACA
Molecule: ribosomal RNA, 403 nt
Filed under: uncultured bacterium
Lineage: Bacteria
Description: bacterial SSU rRNA
Rfam family: Bacterial small subunit ribosomal RNA
Source: RNAcentral